UGUAUUUAUUAGAUUAAAAACCAAUGCCCUUCGGGGCUUCUUGGUGAUUCAUAAUAACUUCUCGAAUCGCAUGGCCUUGCGCCGGCGAUGGUUCAUUCAAAUUUCUGCCCUAUCAACUUUCGAUGGCAGGGUCUUGGCCUGCCAUGGUUACAACGGGUAACGGAGGGUUAGGGCUCGACCCCGGAGAAGGAGCCUGAGAAACGGCUACUACAUCCAAGGAAGGCAGCAGGCGCGCAAAUUACCCAAUCCCGACUCGGGGAGGUAGUGACAAUAAAUACUGAUACAGGGCUCUUUUGGGUCUUGUAAUUGGAAUGAGUACAAUUUAAACCUCUUAACGAGGAACAAUUGGAGGGCAAGUCUGGUGCCAGCAGCCGCGGUAAUUCCAGCUCCAAUAGCGUAUAUUAAAGUUGUUGCAGUUAAAAAGCUCGUAGUUGAAACUUGGGCCUGGCUGGCGGGUCCGCCUCACCGCGUGCACUCGUCCGGCCGGGCCUUCCUUCUGAAGAACCUCAUGCCCUUCACUGGGCGUGCUGGGGAACCAGG
This 540-nucleotide ribosomal RNA is filed under the name uncultured eukaryote. RNAcentral's name for it is "SSU rRNA". It matches the Rfam family "Eukaryotic small subunit ribosomal RNA", at positions 202 to 746 of the family's 1831-position model. The record is from RNAcentral.